This 263-nucleotide ribosomal RNA is filed under the name uncultured bacterium. RNAcentral's name for it is "partial 16S ribosomal RNA". It matches the Rfam family "Bacterial small subunit ribosomal RNA", at positions 99 to 354 of the family's 1533-position model. The record is from RNAcentral.
CGAACGGGUGGAGUAACACGUGGGCAACCUGCCCAAAAGAGGGGGAGUAACACUUGGAAACAGGUGCUAAUACCGCAUAACCAUAGUUACCGCAUGGUAGCUAUGUAAAAGGUGGCUAUGCUACCGCUUUUGGAUGGGCCCGCGGCGCAUUAGCUAGUUGGUGGGGUAAAGGCUUACCAAGGCAAUGAUGCGUAGCCGAACUGAGAGGUUGAUCGGCCACAUUGGGACUGAGACACGGCCCAAACUCCUACGGGAGGCAGCAG